Molecule: transfer RNA, 74 nt
Filed under: Chlorella sorokiniana
Lineage: Eukaryota; Viridiplantae; Chlorophyta; Trebouxiophyceae; Chlorellales; Chlorellaceae
Also listed under: 1 other name
Description: tRNA-Ile
Rfam family: tRNA
About the family: Transfer RNA (tRNA) molecules are approximately 80 nucleotides in length. Their secondary structure includes four short double-helical elements and three loops (D, anti-codon, and T loops). Further hydrogen bonds mediate the characteristic L-shaped molecular structure. tRNAs have two regions of fundamental functional importance: the anti-codon, which is responsible for specific mRNA codon recognition, and the 3' end, to which the tRNAs corresponding amino acid is attached (by aminoacyl-tRNA synthetases). tRNAs cope with the degeneracy of the genetic code in two manners: having more than one tRNA (with a specific anti-codon) for a particular amino acid; and 'wobble' base-pairing, i.e. permitting non-standard base-pairing at the 3rd anti-codon position.
Source: RNAcentral
GGGUAAGUAACUCAGUUGGUUAGAGUAUACGCUUGAUAAGCGUAAAGUCGGGGGUUCAAGUCCCUCCUUACCCA